GACGAACUGUGCAAACGUUAUUCGGAAUCACUGGGCUUGAAGAGUGCGUAGGCGGUUUUGUAAGUAGGGUGUGAAAGCCCCCGGCUCAACCGGGGAAUUGCGCCCUAAACUGGCGAGCUGGAGUGAGAUAGGGGUGUGUGGAACUUCCGGUGGAGCGGUGAAAUGUGUUGAUAUCGGAAGGAACGCCGGUGGCGAAAGCGACACACUGGGUCUCAACUGACGCUGAGGCACGAAAGCCAGGGGAGCGAACGGG
This 253-nucleotide ribosomal RNA is filed under the name uncultured bacterium. RNAcentral's name for it is "partial 16S ribosomal RNA". It matches the Rfam family "Bacterial small subunit ribosomal RNA", at positions 524 to 776 of the family's 1533-position model. The record is from RNAcentral.